This 301-nucleotide ribosomal RNA is filed under the name uncultured bacterium. RNAcentral describes it as "partial 16S ribosomal RNA". It matches the Rfam family "Bacterial small subunit ribosomal RNA", at positions 509 to 807 of the family's 1533-position model. The record is from RNAcentral.
CAGCCGCCACGGUAAUACAGAGGAUGCAAGCGUUAUCUGGAAUGAUUGGGCGUAAAGCGACUGUAGGUGGCUUUUCAAGUCUGCAGUCAACUCCCAAGGCUCAACCCUGGACAGGCGGCGGAAACUACCAAGAUGGAGUACGGUAGGGGCAGAGGGAAUUUCCGGUGGAGCGGUGAAAUGCGUUGAGAUCGGAAAGAACACCAACGGUGAAAGCACUCUGCUGGGCCGACACUGACACUGAGAGACGAAAGUUAGGGGAGCAAAUGGGAUUAGAUACCCCUGUAGUCCCUGUCUCUUAUAC